This 2945-nucleotide ribosomal RNA is filed under the name Lobosphaera incisa. Its description in RNAcentral is "bacterial LSU rRNA". It matches the Rfam family "Bacterial large subunit ribosomal RNA". The record is from RNAcentral. Lineage: Eukaryota; Viridiplantae; Chlorophyta; Trebouxiophyceae; Trebouxiales; Trebouxiaceae.
GUCAAAUAACUAAAGGCUUACGGUGGAUACCUAGGCAUUCAGAGACGAAGAAGGGCGUGGAAACCGACGAAACGCUUCGAGGAGCUGGAAACAAGCUUUGAUUCGAAGAUUCCCGAAUAGGGCAACCUUUUCAACUACCUAUUGAAUUCAUAGAUAGGAAAGAGAUAACCCAGUGAAUUGAAACAUCUUAGUAGCUGGAGGAAAAAAAAGCAAAAGCGAUUCCCUUAGUAGCGGCGAGCGGACGGGGAACAGCCUAAACCGAUUCGAAAACCGGAUCGGGGUCGUGGGAAGAAUUCAUAAAAAAGUAUGAGCUGAGACGAAGCAGUUGAAUCCUGUACCAUAGAUGGUGAAAGUCCCGUAGUCGAAAGCAUAAUAUUUUUUUUUCUUAUCCCGAGUAGCAUGGGACACGUGAAAUCCCGUGUGAAUCAGCGAGGACCACCUCGUAAGGCUAAAUACUCCUGAAUGACCGAUAGUGAAGCAGUACCGUGAGGGAAAGGUGAAAAAGAACCCCUGUAGGGGAGUGAAAAAGAACAUGAAACCGUAAGCUAUCAAACAGUGGGAGGGAUGAAAUCCUGACCGCGUGCCUGUUGAAGAAUGAGCCGGCGACUUAUAGGAAGUGGCUUGGUUAAGAAAAAAAUUCGAAGCCAUAGCAAAAGCGAGUCUGAAUAGGGCGAAAUAGUCACUUCUUAUGGACCCGAACCCGGGUGAUCUAACCACGACCAGGAUGAAGCUUGGGUAAAACCAAGUGGAAGUCCGAACCGACCGAUGUUGAAAAAUCGGCGGAUGAGUUAUGGUUAGGGGUGAAAUGCCAAUCGAACUCGGAGCUAGCUGGUUCUCCCCGAAAUGCGUUGAGGCGCAGCGGUUGACGAAUUAUGGGCUGCCUAGGGGUAAAGCACUGUUUCGGUGCGGGCUGCGAGAGCGGUACCAAAUCGUAGCAAACUAAGAAUACUAGGCAUUGCUUUCCGUCAGCCAGUGAGACGGUGGGGGAUAAGCUUCAUCGUCGAGAGGGAAACAGCCCAGAUCACCAGUUAAGGCCCCAAAAUGACCGCUAAGUGGCAAAGGAUGUGAGAAUGCUAAGACAACCAGGAGGUUUGCUUAGAAGCAGCCAUCCUUUAAAGAGUGCGUAAUAGCUCACUGGUAAAGCGUUCUUGCGCCGAAAAUUUACGGGACUAAGCGGUCUGCCGAAGCUGUGAGAUUUUUUUAUUAAAUAAAAAAAUCGGUAGGGGAGCGUUCCGCUCUAGGGUGAAGUAAUAACGAAAGUUUUUAUGGACAAAGCGGAAGUGAGAAUGUCGGCUUGAGUAACGCAAACAUUGGUGAGAAUCCAAUGCCCCGAAAACCUAAGGGUUCCUCUACUAGGUUCGUCCAUGGAGGGUGAGUCAGGACCUAAGGCAAGGCCGAAAGGCGUAGUCGAUGGAGAACAGGUUAAUAUUCCUGUACUGAUUUUUAAUUGGUACCGAGGGACGAAGAAGGUCUAGGUUGACCAAUAUUGGAUUUUGGUGGAAAAGCUCAAAGUUGUAAAAGAUAGAAUAAAAACUAUUCUUGAUAUUUUUAAAUAUCCAGCUAAGACUUGAUACGGUUUUAUUCCCUGGGCUGUUUCAUAACGGAACAGUCUAUAGUAAAACUCAACCGCGGAUCAAACUUCCUAGAAAAGCUCGAACUACUAUUAAAGUUAAGAAUCACCUGUACCCGAAACCGACACAGGUAGGUGGGUAGAGUAUACCUAGGGGCGCGAGAUAACUCUCUCUAAGGAACUCGGCAAAAUGGCCCCGUAACUUCGGGAGAAGGGGUGCCCCCAAAUAUUGGGGGCCGCAGUGACCAGGCCCAGGCGACUGUUUACCAAAAACACAGGUCUCCGCUAAGUCGUAAGACAAGAUAUGGGGGCUGACGCCUGCCCAGUGCCGGAAGGUGAAGGAAGUUGGUUAUUCUUCGGAAAAAGCUGACAACCGAAGCCCCGGUGAACGGCGGCCGUAACUCUGACGGUCCUAAGGUAGCGAAAUUCCUUGUCGGGUAAGUUCCGACCCGCACGAAAGGCGUAACGAUCUGGGCGCUGUCUCGGAGAGAGACUCGGUGAAAUAGACAUGUCCGUGAAGAUGCGGACUCCUUACACCUGGACAGAAAGACCCUAUGAAGCUUUACUGUAGCCUGGAAUUGGGUUUGGGCUUUUCUUGCGCAGUCUAAGUGGGAGGCGUUGAAAAUUUUCUUCCGGGAAAAUUGGAGCCAUCAGUGAGAGACCACUCUGGAAGAGCUAGAAUUCUAAUAGCGUUCCUUGAAUCAGGACGCUUGACAGUUUCAGGUGGGCAGUUUGACUGGGGCGGUCGCCUCCUAAAAGGUAACGGAGGUGUGCAAAGGUUCCCUCAGGCUGGACGGAAAUCAGCCUAAGAGUGUAAAGGCAGAAGGGAGCUUGACUGCAAGACCUACAAGUCGAGCAGGGGCGAAAGCCGGCCUUAGUGAUCCGACGGUACCGAGUGGAAGGGCCGUCGCUCAACGGAUAAAAGUUACUCUAGGGAUAACAGGCUGAUCUUCCCCAAGAGUUCACAUCGACGGGAAGGUUUGGCACCUCGAUGUCGGCUCAUCGCAACCUGGGGCGGUAGUACGUCCCAAGGGUUGGGCUGUUCGCCCAUGAAAGCGGUACGUGAGCUGGGUUCAGAACGUCGUGAGACAGUUUGGUCCAUAUCCGGUGUAAGCGUUAGAGUAUUGAGAGGAGCCUUCCAUAGUACGAGAGGACCUGGAAGGACGCACCUCUGGUGUACCAGUUCUCGUGCCAACGGGAUACGCUGGGUAGCCAUGUGCGGAAGGGAUAACUGCUGAAAGCAUCUAAGUAGGAAGCCCACCUCAAGAUGAGUACUCUCUAGAGGUCACAGCAAGAAAAGCUGUUUGAUAGGUGUCAAGUGUAAAGCCAGUAAUGGUUGUAGCUGAGACACACUAACAGACCCAUUGAGUUUGAC